Molecule: non-coding RNA, 1013 nt
Organism: Oryctolagus cuniculus (rabbit)
Lineage: Eukaryota; Metazoa; Chordata; Mammalia; Lagomorpha; Leporidae
Source: RefSeq, a predicted model, not a curated record
CCCACCCCAACCACAGCCCACAGGUGGGCCUUCCUCAGUCUUCCUGGGCAGACAAAACUCCAGGAGGCUCCCGAGCUGUCUUUCAGAAUCCCUCUCAGUGGUCCCUGAGGAGCGUCAGCCAAGGAUCCGAACCACUGGCAGAUGUGGGUGCCUGUUGCUGUUGAUUUCUCAACAAUGUUGCAGUGGAUUCAUUUCUGAGAGGAACAGCGUGGUGGGGGCAAGAGGCGCGGAGUCACUACACAGACCCCGGGAGUCCAGUGAAAGCAGGCUUGAGGAGCCCUCAGGAGGAUGCUAGGACUCCGGUAUGCAGUGGGCUGGCCGUCAGGACCACGGGGUGGUGUGCAGUCCCCGCCUGCAGCUUCUUUGAACCCUGGGGCAUCAGCUUUCCAAUCUCUGUGUGGUGAGGAAGAACUUGAACUUACUGUAUGACCCGAUUUCCUUGAGUGAGGCAGCAGAUCUCAAGCAGGCCUCUCGGCGUAGGGGUCUGGGUCAGUUUUCUUGUUGCUAAUCGUGCAGCAGCACAGGCUCGGUGUGUGAGAAGGAAGCAGUAUUAUUGACCUCAUGGUUUUGGUGCAGGGUCUAGGGGCAGCAUCCGGUGAUGAUCUUCUUGCUGGUAGAGUCCUGGGGUGGCACAGAGACCAGCGGACAGACAGAAGGGGUGCAGAGGGGGCCAAUCCAAAGUGGUCUAUGUUGCGGUCCCCUAGGGAUAAGGCGUUAAUCCAUGAACACAUGAAUGGAUUUAUCCUGAUCACUUCCUGCAGGGCCUCACCUGUUCUCACUGCUGAAUUUCUCAUCACUGGAUUAACUGUGCCCAUGAGUUUCAGAGGGGAUAAACCAUGUUUAAUAGAGAGCAUGCAGGCUUGCAGGAGGUCCCUAAAUUUCCAGGUCUCCUCCCACCUAGUUUUGAGAUUUAGUGCUUCUGCCCCUCAUGUGGAAGAAGGCACCCUUUCUUAGGGCUUUCAAGGAAAGAAGGAAAGGACUUCAAGCUUUUCUUCCUACUAGGAUCACCUAUU